UGGUCUUUCAGAAUGAAACUGAUUAAGCUACUGUUUUUACUCUAAAAUGAGCUGAGGAUUAACAUCUUCCAUGGCUACAUGAAAUGCCUGAAAAUUUUGUUGAAUUGAUGUCUAGAAAAUUGUCAACCUUUCUUUUUCAAUCUCAAACAAAAUAAAUUAGCAUGAGAGCUCCUGAUAUGCAGCAAAUGUCUCCUUCUAACUUAUAUUUCAAUAUAAUGGAAUUAUUUUAUUCUCUC
Molecule: unclassified non-coding RNA, 236 nt
Filed under: Hevea brasiliensis (rubber tree)
Lineage: Eukaryota; Viridiplantae; Streptophyta; Magnoliopsida; Malpighiales; Euphorbiaceae
Source: RNAcentral